Populus nigra (black poplar) is the source of this 2355-nucleotide long non-coding RNA. RefSeq lists it as uncharacterized. The record is from RefSeq and is a predicted model, not a curated record. NCBI's taxonomy places the organism in Eukaryota, Viridiplantae, Streptophyta, Magnoliopsida, Malpighiales, Salicaceae. The transcript has 3 exons.
GAUAUUUCAAACAAAAAAAUUCAAUUUAUUUAAAUAUGAAUUUUCUCUCUCUGUGAUAUUUUCGUUUUCAAAUACAAAACUCGUCUCUUACCGGCCCUGUGACUUGUGUAGAAUCCAAAGAAAAGCUUCGACGGAGCGUUUAGGUCGACAACUCAAUACGUUUCCCCGAAAAUUAACAAGGAAUCCUAUGAUCUAUCUCCAGUCUCAGAGAUUUCUGAUGCUAAUCAUUGUUGCCAAACAGCAAUAAUCUCUAUUUUAGCUUUAAAUCCAGUUGUUUCAGCUCCUACAGAAACUUCCUCUGUCUCUGAUAAUAUUCCUACUUCAAAGAUCAGCACCAUUACUGAUGAGUCAGCCAGUGUUUCUACGGAUUGCUGUGGUCUUAACAAAGCAAGCAUCUCAAAGAUCGGUCAAGUGCAAAGACUGGAGGCAAAUAUUGUGGUGAUUUAUUCUCAAAGAAGAUCAAAUUGUAGUUUUGAAAGCAGAUGUUCAAUCAAAGAAGCUUAUGGGUGCAUUAAUUAAGGUUGUCAUAGAUGAACAUUACACUUUAACUGAAGAUAAAGACUUGGCGAUUGGCCUUGUUUCUAUGAAAUGGUGUGUUGUGUUUUUUAUGUUUCACAGGUUUUCAUUUAUGAUAUGCCAUUGCGAUUUUUUGAUUGACCUCAUAGUAGUUAUAGAGCAGGAUCAAGCUAGUUGAACACACUCCACAUCUAAUGGCUACCUGAACUAUUCUCACCCGCUGUAUAUGGUAAAUUGAGGCGAGUUACUGCUCAAAAUUUGACCCCCUUGUCAUUAUAAAUGCUCUUGUCCAGGUAAUAUGGUUUGCUCUAUCUGUUUUUUUCAAAACUUUGGCUUGUUGAUUCAUUCUCUCAAGGCUUUAACUAUGAUAUAAAUUAGGUUUCAAAUUGGUGAUAAGAUGUUUUUUUCUUUUCUUUGCAAGUAUAAAUUCCUCUCCGUACUUUUUUGGUCAAUGAAUGGCUAUUUUCUUAAAAUGGUAGUGUUUAUAAUCCCGAGUAACAUCUCUACCAAUUUCUUGACAUGACAAGAAAGCAUUUAGACUUUGAGAAAAACCCUGUUCACAACUACUGGAAGAGCUGCCUCUUUCUUAUUUCCCUUACAAACUUAUCGCUUGUACAAUUCUGGAGCAUCCACUGCAUUCUUUUAUGCCAGGGAGAGUGUUUCUGUAAAUUCAAAAUUUGCUUAAUGCUGCUGUUAGAACUCCGUUCGCCGAGAUGCAGUCAGUAUAAGUGGGCUACUGAUGUCGAGCCCCGUGUCUUUCAUUUUCUUGGGAUCUUGCUACAGAUCAUCCUCUGUAGUUUCCUCAGCGGGUAAUCCUAGCCCUUCGAUACAUCACUUCACUUCCGAGAAAUAGUUCAUUUCGGUCUGGUGUUUUGAGCAACCCCCCUCAAACUGGAUUUGAAAACUUAUUAUAUCAGUUCCUUCUAGAUAGUCUACUGGCAAUGGCAUGCUCGCUCGUUUUUCUUCUACCACAUCAACUGAGAUGCAUGGAUUUUUUGCCCCCGUGAUCUAGUUUGAUAAAUAGCAAGCCAAUGGCAACGUUAUUUUGACUUGCUCGGGCCUAGUUGAUAGCCCAUAGUUCGAUAAUGUUGAAAAUCAACGUCAUUAGGUAGCGAGUCCACACUAAAAUAGAGCGCUACUGCUCAUUUAUCUCUUCAUUAGAGAAGCACAACUCAAAAGUGAGAUUUCUGGUUCCCCUUUGACAUGGCUUGACAACCCAUCUCACCGCCCUGAGCUUGACAGCCACAUGAUGCUUUCCGUCUGGUGAUAAUUUGGGGAAGCCUGCUUUCAAAGACACGUUUUCCCCACCUAGCCAUCAAUUGGCACGACUUAUGUUGGGUAUUUUCCAUGAACGAUUUCAUUUAGGAUGCCAAAGGAGAAUGCAUUUCUUAUGUUGUAUCCACCCUAAAAAAAUUAUUACAAUUAACUUCUAUAUUAAGUGCAUCACUGGAUGGAAGCAUUUAAAUGCAUAGAAAUCAUAUAAUUACAGAUUCUGUGAUCCUUCUAUAAUUUUUAGUACUCUUGGUGCAAAAUUUUGCCAAAUCCAUGAUCAUAUUCUAUCCUCUAGAACAGUUUCCAGCUAGACUGUGUAAUAUCUACCACCUGAUUUUGUUGAGUGAAUGUGCUUUUAUCAUCUACUCACCAUCUAUCAUACAAUCCGAUUUGGUAGCAUGUGAUUUUCAAUCAGGGGUUGAUGGUGAAAUUACUCAGGUGAAGGAAGGAUUCAUCUUUAAUGACUCGUAGAUUUCUAUUGGUCGGAGGUUACCACAAUCCUAAUAUCGGCAAUUGUCUACAAGCAUUCUAUCAUUAAAUUUGAAUCUAGUGGAUCCGUUUCUAAUA